CUAACUUGUAAGCAUUAUGGAAUGUUAGUCACUUGCUUAAAAACUGAGUUGUUCCAGAUUUAUCUUGAAGACCAUUUUAAAGAAUCAAUGCUCAGCUAUCAUCUUUAUAGACGAAAAAGUUGGAAUGGUUUCUCCUCUUAAUGAAUUGGUAGCGUUCAGUGAAAAAUUGUUUCCAGUUCUCCUCCUGAAUCUGAAGCAUCUGGCACUAUCUGACUUACUAGAGGCCAAGCACUGGAAGUGCAGUGACUAAUUCUAUAUCUUGAUGUUCAUCACAUGCAUCCUCC
RNAcentral lists this long non-coding RNA (284 nucleotides) under Anas platyrhynchos platyrhynchos (common mallard). Its description in RNAcentral is "lncRNA (ENSAPLG00000026851.1)". Lineage: Eukaryota; Metazoa; Chordata; Aves; Anseriformes; Anatidae. The record is from RNAcentral.